AUUGAACGCUGGCGGCAGGCCUAACACAUGCAAGUCGAGCGGUAGAGAGAAGCUUGCUUAUCUUGAGAGCGGCGGACGGGUGAGUAAUGCCUAGGAAUCUGCCUGGUAGUGGGGGAUAACGUUCGGAAACGGACGCUAAUACCGCAUACGUCCUACGGGAGAAAGCAGGGGACCUUCGGGCCUUGCGCUAUCAGAUGAGCCUAGGUCGGAUUAGCUAGUUGGUGAGGUAAUGGCUCACCAAGGCGACGAUCCGUAACUGGUCUGAGAGGAUGAUCAGUCACACUGGAACUGAGACACGGUCCAGACUCCUACGGGAGGCAGCAGUGGGGAAUAUUGGACAAUGGGCGAAAGCCUGAUCCAGCCAUGCCGCGUGUGUGAAGAAGGUCUUCGGAUUGUAAAGCACUUUAAGUUGGGAGGAAGGGUUGUAGAUUAAUACUCUGCAAUUUUGACGUUACCGACAGAAUAAGCACCGGCUAACUCUGUGCCAGCAGCCGCGGUAAUACAGAGGGUGCAAGCGUUAAUCGGAAUUACUGGGCGUAAAGCGCGCGUAGGUGGUUUGUUAAGUUGGAUGUGAAAUCCCCGGGCUCAACCUGGGAACUGCAUUCAAAACUGACUGACUAGAGUAUGGUAGAGGGUGGUGGAAUUUCCUGUGUAGCGGUGAAAUGCGUAGAUAUAGGAAGGAACACCAGUGGCGAAGGCGACCACCUGGACUAAUACUUGACGCUGAGGUGCGAAAGCGUGGGAGCAACAGG
Molecule: ribosomal RNA, 752 nt
Filed under: uncultured Pseudomonas sp.
Lineage: Bacteria; Pseudomonadati; Pseudomonadota; Gammaproteobacteria; Pseudomonadales; Pseudomonadaceae
Description: bacterial SSU rRNA
Rfam family: Bacterial small subunit ribosomal RNA
Source: RNAcentral